Rhagoletis zephyria (snowberry fruit fly) is the source of this 867-nucleotide long non-coding RNA. RefSeq lists it as uncharacterized. The record is from RefSeq and is a predicted model, not a curated record. Lineage: Eukaryota; Metazoa; Arthropoda; Insecta; Diptera; Tephritidae.
AGCCGUACGCAAAGCGCCUCCGCUAGCGAUCUAGCCAAGUUAAGUAGAUUUGCUGUUCUCGGCUCAAACAGCGUAGAUAGCAUUCAGUCUUCAUCUGAACAUCGGUUCAGAAACUUGCGCGUUUCUAAUAAGUCGGCACGAUAAAUUCGAUACAGUGGCGUAGUUAAAGUUUACUGAAAUAAAAGUAACGAAAUAAAAUUGAGAAUUCGUUGAACAAGUGAUCAAGUGCAGAAAUUCGAUUUCGAUUGAAUUUUACGAAACUGGCGAUUCUGGUAAUUGUUUUGCGUUUGAAAACAAGUCGGACGUGUUUAGUUUCUGUUACAAUUCUUUGUGCCAGAGCGCAGACGCGCUUACAAGUUAGCACUUCUAUGAGGACAUUUGCAUUUACAUAAAUAUAAAUAUAUGUAUAUUUAAGCGCAAGUCAGCGUGAUUUUGUGCAAUAAGUGGCAAACUCUGAAGAAAAAACUAAAUUUUCGAAAAGAAGAAAAAAACUUCAAAAUAAGUAUAAACAAUUCAAGUUGCUUUCGUUCGUGGUGCAUAACAAGUUCCUGAUUCAUUGCUUACGAUUUUUGUAUAGUCGAAAGGUCAACGACGACGCGACGGUAGAACUUUUUAUUUGCGGUUUGCUUUCGUGAUUUGUAUCAUUUCGAAAAUUCUUGAAGCCGGCUUCAUAAUUUGUUGUUUCGCGUAAGUAGCAAAAAAGUGAUUGUGCAUAAAAAAUAGUGUUGUUUUUGUGUUGCAACUCGAGAACAAGGAAGCCUGUAAAAAAUUUAAAGUUAAACUUGAAACCAAAACUGCAAGUGUAGAUCGAGAUUUGAGCAGCUGGUAUUUUCCGCUUACUUAACAACGCACAGAAUUUAUGACUUU